AGUGAACGCUGGCGGCGUGCUUAACACAUGCAAGUCGAACGAGAACGGAUUAUCGCUUGCUAUAAUUGUCAGCUAAGUGGCGCACGGGUGAGUAAUGUAUAGGUAAUAUGCCUCUUACUAAGGGAUAACAAUUGGAAACGUUUGCUAAUACCUUAUACUCCUUAUUAACAUAAGUUAAUAAGGGAAAGAUUUAUUGGUAAGAGAUUAGCCUGUAUUGUAUCAGUUAGUUGGUGGGGUAAUGGCUUACCAAGACUAUGACACAUAACUGGUUUGAGAGGAUGAUCAGUCACACUGGAACGGAGACACGGUCCAGACUCCUACGGGAGGCAGCAGUGGGGAAUAUUGCACAAUGGACGAAAGUCUGAUGCAGCAACGCCGCGUGGAGGAUGACACAUUUCGGUGCGUAAACUCCUUUUAUAUGAGAAGAUAAUGACGGUAUUAUAUGAAUAAGCACCGGCUAACUCCGUGCCAGCCGCCGCCGUAA
RNAcentral lists this ribosomal RNA (484 nucleotides) under uncultured bacterium. Its description in RNAcentral is "partial 16S ribosomal RNA". It matches the Rfam family "Bacterial small subunit ribosomal RNA", at positions 29 to 523 of the family's 1533-position model. The record is from RNAcentral.